GGGCCGUUAGCUCAGUCGGUAGAGCACCGGACUUUUAAUCCGUUGGUCGCAGGUUCGACUCCUGCACGGCUCA
This 73-nucleotide transfer RNA is filed under the name Deltaproteobacteria bacterium. RNAcentral describes it as "tRNA-Lys". It matches the Rfam family "tRNA". From Rfam's summary of the family: Transfer RNA (tRNA) molecules are approximately 80 nucleotides in length. Their secondary structure includes four short double-helical elements and three loops (D, anti-codon, and T loops). The record is from RNAcentral. Lineage: Bacteria; Pseudomonadati; Myxococcota; Myxococcia.